This 73-nucleotide transfer RNA is filed under the name Frankia sp. Its description in RNAcentral is "tRNA-Glu". It matches the Rfam family "tRNA". Rfam says of the family: Transfer RNA (tRNA) molecules are approximately 80 nucleotides in length. The record is from RNAcentral. Lineage: Bacteria; Bacillati; Actinomycetota; Actinomycetes; Frankiales; Frankiaceae. RNAcentral also lists the same sequence under 6 other names.
GGCCCCAUCGUCUAGUGGCCCAGGACGCCGCCCUCUCAAGGCGGUAGCACGGGUUCGAAUCCCGUUGGGGCUA